CCCAGUCCCAUUUAACGGCAAAUUUGACAGUAACUCAGAUGAAAUUAUUAAUGUUUAGUAACCAUUGGAAAACCAUGAAGCUAGAGGAAGAAAAGAUGUUAAAGUGAGGAACUAAAGGCAGCCUGAGUUGGUGCAAAAGACUGAAAUUCUGAAGCUGAAAGUCGGGCAAGCAUGAGUAACAGCUAGACAAAGCAAGAAUUGAAAGACAACAGAUGGUGCAUCAGGUAAGUGUUCUUGGCUGCAAAAUCAACAAACCACCUCUGGCUAACUUAAUCAGGAAGGGAAUGCAGUGGAAUGAUAUCAGGCAGCUCACCAACCAGUGUGAAGCCUGGAGACCAGGCCUGGGAAACAGGCAGGAACUGAGGCAGGGCGAUCAGCUCACAAGGAACAAAAUGUUAUUUGGCCUUGCUGCCUGGACCCUUGAUACUGCUGGCACCAAGGGUCAACUACAACCACAUUCCCACAGCUCCUGCACGAAUGCUGUCCUAAGCUGCCAAAUGCAAGGUGCACAUGGGAAGAGAAUUGGAACAUGUGAUGUAUUUCCUUCAGGUCUCUGCUUAAAUGGCCUGUGAACAAAGAGUGCCAAACCACCCGUCAGAAACAGCCCUCCCUCCACUUGUGUUGGACUCAGCCUUGUGCCCUGCUUGACUUUUCUUCAUAGCUACUGUUGCUGCCUGAGAAUUAACAUACCGUUUGCUUCUCCCGCUAGACCAUGAACUCAGGGAGGAUGGGAAUUUAUCUGCCACUGUACUCCCAGAGCCUAAGAUAAUGCUACCAUGUAGAUGGCUCCCAAUAAAUAUCUUUUGAAUGAAUGACUGCAUGAAGAAAUGAAACAGUCCUUGAGGAAAGAAUCCCACAUGUAUAGGGGACAGCACUUGGAUGUCGUAUUAGAGAUGCUCAGGUUUUAAUCCUGAGUCUCUGGCUUUCUAAAUGUGCAGCAAG
Molecule: long non-coding RNA, 942 nt
Filed under: Equus caballus (horse)
Lineage: Eukaryota; Metazoa; Chordata; Mammalia; Perissodactyla; Equidae
Description: lncRNA (ENSECAG00000032572.3)
Source: RNAcentral